This 281-nucleotide signal recognition particle RNA is filed under the name Phascolarctos cinereus (koala). Its description in RNAcentral is "Metazoan signal recognition particle RNA (ENSPCIG00000033344.1)". It matches the Rfam family "Metazoan signal recognition particle RNA". Rfam says of the family: The signal recognition particle (SRP) is a universally conserved ribonucleoprotein. Lineage: Eukaryota; Metazoa; Chordata; Mammalia; Diprotodontia; Phascolarctidae. The record is from RNAcentral.
GCCAGAGGUGGUAGCCCAUGCUAUAAUCCUAGCUACUGGGGAGGCUGAGGUUAGUGGAUCUCUUGAGCCAUAUUGCUGUAAGCCAAUAGGGUGUCCUCAUUAGAUCUGGCCAAUAUGGUUAGUCUCUGGGAUCAGAGAGCCACCAAGUUGCCUAAGAAGGGGUGGACCAGCCCAGGUUGGAAACAGAGCUGGUAAAAAAUCCCAAGCCAGUUAGCAGUGGGAUUCUGCUAUGACUAGCUUCUGCACUUCCAGCCUAACCAAUAUAGGAAUACUCAGUCUUA